GCCAGAUGUGGUGAUGCAUGCCUACAAUCCUUGAUAACAGGUAGACUGAGGCUGGUGGAUCACUUGUGUAUAGGAGUUUUGAACUGUAGUAUACUGAACCAACUAGGUGUCUGAACUAAGUCCAGCACCAAUAUGGUGAGCCAAUGAGAGCCUGGGCUGCCAGGUUGCCUAAGGGGAAGUGAACCAGCCUAGAUCAGGUAAAAAAUUGAACAGGUCAAAACUCUUGUGCUGAUGAGUAAUGGGAUUGGACCCAUGAGAAGCUGCUGUACUUCCAGCCUGGGUGAGAUAAAGAGACCCAGCCUAAA
RNAcentral lists this signal recognition particle RNA (305 nucleotides) under Vombatus ursinus (common wombat). Its description in RNAcentral is "Metazoan signal recognition particle RNA (ENSVURG00010010177.1)". It matches the Rfam family "Metazoan signal recognition particle RNA". Rfam says of the family: The signal recognition particle (SRP) is a universally conserved ribonucleoprotein. It is involved in the co-translational targeting of proteins to membranes. The eukaryotic SRP consists of a 300-nucleotide 7S RNA and six proteins: SRPs 72, 68, 54, 19, 14, and 9. Lineage: Eukaryota; Metazoa; Chordata; Mammalia; Diprotodontia; Vombatidae. The record is from Rfam by way of RNAcentral.